This is an RNA transcript of Pyrus x bretschneideri (Chinese white pear), 1109 nucleotides long. It is a transcript of the gene named ubiquitin-fold modifier-conjugating enzyme 1, with no coding region annotated. The record is from RefSeq and is a predicted model, not a curated record. NCBI's taxonomy places the organism in Eukaryota, Viridiplantae, Streptophyta, Magnoliopsida, Rosales, Rosaceae. The transcript is spliced from 4 exons.
GGGGACAGAGACGGAGCGAGUCGAAUUAAAUUGGGGGUUAGGGUUUUGCUCGGUGGAAGAUCAAAAAUGGAGGGUUGGGACCCGAACACCAAGUCGACGCUGACCCAGAUACCACUCUUGACGACGAAGGCCGGUCCCAGAGAUGGGGCGGCGUGGACGCAGCGGCUGAAGGAGGAGUACAAGGCGCUGAUCGCAUACACCCAGAUGAACAAGUCCAACGACAACGAUUGGUUCCGAAUCUCCGCCUCCAAUCCCGAGGGUACACGGUGGACUGGCAAGUGCUGGUACGUCUACAACCUCCUCAAGUACGAGUUCGAUCUCCAGUUCGAUAUCCCCAUCACCUACCCCGCCACCGCACCGGAACUCGAGCUCCCUCAGCUAGACGGCAAGACCCAAAAGAUGUAUAGAGGGGGGAAGAUCUGCUUGACGGUGCAUUUCAAGCCGCUUUGGGCCAAGAACUGUCCAAGAUUUGGUAUAGCACAUGCACUUUGUUUGGGUCUUGCACCAUGGCUUGCGGCAGAGAUUCCCGUUCUUGUGGAUUCUGGUAUGGUUAAGCACAAAGAUGAUGCUGCAUCAUCAACUGAAUCUUAGUUCAGUGUAAUAUUGGCGCUGUAAGAGUAACACCUCGAUGACAGAGAAUAAAGACUGUAACCAAGAACUACUGCACCAUUUGAUAUUUGAGUCCAUUGCACUACAUAUGCAUUCUUUACCUGAUAUAUCCCAUGAAAAAUGUCAGUAGCAGAGUCCGGAUGUGAGCACCGGCUAUAUCAGCAUCAUUAAGAUGAUCAGGCUUUCGUUCUCCAAUUAUCGUACCUAUUUCCAAUGUCAGAAUGCCAACAGACGGGAAGGCACCUUCUUCGAUCUGUGCUUCUUUUGACGUCCUUACUCUUGUGGGGCUGCUUCUUGUUUCCUCUUUUGCCCGCGGAGGCUGGGAGUUUGUGUUUUGGGGACGGUGAUGCGCAUAGGCUUUAGAGGAGGGGCAUUGGGAGAACAGAGAGUAAGGACAACUGAACUGAAACUGUAAGUACAGGAACCCUGCGUCAUGAUCACACUUAAAGACUUAAAGUGGGUCAUUUUUGUUAAUGACUAAUCAGUGUGUACGAUCCAAC